CGCUACAUCUAUCAAGGCUUCGUAUCAGCUCAUCCUACUGAACGUCGCAACUGCAUUCGGCAACUCAAAAACAUGCUCCACCCUCUUAAACCCCUCAAUCAACCGGACUCAGUCAACUGGCGUUGGACUUCAAAUCAACUCUUCACGGUCAAAUCACUAUACUCGUUCCUUACUGACACUGGCUGUAGAGACCCAACUAGCCAGCCCAUCUGGAAACUUAAAACCCC
RNAcentral lists this long non-coding RNA (227 nucleotides) under Ananas comosus (pineapple). RNAcentral's name for it is "long non-coding RNA (ACOM_LNC026025)". The record is from RNAcentral. Lineage: Eukaryota; Viridiplantae; Streptophyta; Magnoliopsida; Poales; Bromeliaceae.